AAAACUUUCCAAUGACGGUCAACAGACUUGAAAAAAACAAAUUAGGAAGGCUCAUAAAAUAGAUACUAGACACUUCAGAAAAUAAACUCAUGGAAGAACUAUUAAAUCAGCUGACUUUGGACAAAGUACCCAAGGGGAGAGAAGGCAGCAAAGUUCUCUUGAAUCUCUUUUACUGCCCUAUUGUGUCCAUACUAGAGAGAGAGAGAGAGAUUGUGUGUUUGCAUGCCUCCUCACUGUCCAUGCAUACAUAAAUGCCAGAUGUAUAACUAACCGAUGUUGAAACAUGGCCAAGUCCUUCAGUUGGACCCAGCCUAGCCAACCCGAAGUCUGAGAGCUUUGCAUUGAAGUCCUCAUCUAACAGAAUGUUUGAAGAUUUAAAAUCCCGAAAUAUUAACUGCAA
Long non-coding RNA from Telopea speciosissima, 400 nucleotides. RefSeq lists it as uncharacterized. NCBI's taxonomy places the organism in Eukaryota, Viridiplantae, Streptophyta, Magnoliopsida, Proteales, Proteaceae. The transcript is spliced from 2 exons. The record is from RefSeq and is a predicted model, not a curated record.